RNAcentral lists this long non-coding RNA (518 nucleotides) under Cricetulus griseus (Chinese hamster). Its description in RNAcentral is "lncRNA (ENSCGRG00015037368.1)". Lineage: Eukaryota; Metazoa; Chordata; Mammalia; Rodentia; Cricetidae. The record is from RNAcentral.
ACCUGUGUCCCGGUCCUCAAGUUGGAUCCCAUAGAAGCCCAGCAUGAGUUCAUAGGCCCGGACCAGACGCUCUUUGACCUCCUGGGAGCUUUUAAAUGCCUCCACCUCCUUGAGUGUGAGGGGCUUGGCAUGCCGGUUCACUCCUGGUUCCCUCAGAGGAAACAGCCACUGGAUAUAGGAGUGAUUCUCUUCAAGGACGACAUAGUUGUCUUUCCAGUUGUGAAGAAUUUCCUCAAUGUAGAGACCAUUUGGCUGGAAGCAGAUCUCAUUUUUGUAGAAGCACAGGUGGAAUCGUAGUCCGGGUCAUCCAUUCUCAAGAGGCAGGACUGGCAUUCCAUGGAAAGGAAAGGGGAAGAGGAGUACUUGUCUGUAAAAAUGGAAAACACGUUGAAAGCCUGUUAGUAACAUGUCUACACUGUGUAUGCAUUUGGGCAGUAAUCUGCCAAAGGACAUUUGUGGAAGUAAGAAAACAAAUGUGUGGACCAUGGGAAUUAAGCUGAGUAUCUCAGACUUGGUGA